Molecule: transfer RNA, 98 nt
Filed under: Candidatus Aenigmatarchaeota archaeon
Lineage: Archaea; Nanobdellati; Candidatus Aenigmatarchaeota
Description: tRNA-Ile
Rfam family: tRNA
About the family: Transfer RNA (tRNA) molecules are approximately 80 nucleotides in length. Their secondary structure includes four short double-helical elements and three loops (D, anti-codon, and T loops).
Source: RNAcentral
GGACCCGUGGCUCAGUUGGUUAGAGCACCGGUCUUAUAAGCCGGGGGUCGCCGGUUCGAAGUGGCUUCGUGCCAUUGAAACUCCGGCCGGGUCCACCA